GACGAACGCUGGCGGCGUGCUUAACACAUGCAAGUCGAGCGGUAAGGCCCUUUUGGGGGUACACGAGCGGCGAACGGGUGAGUAACACGUGGGUGACCUGCCCUCAGCUCUGGGAUAAGCCUGGGAAACUGGGUCUAAUACUGGAUAUGACCUUUCCUCGCAUGGGGUUGGGUGGAAAGUUUUUCGGCUGGGGAUGGGCCCGCGGCCUAUCAGCUUGUUGGUGGGGUGAUGGCCUACCAAGGCGACGACGGGUAGCCGGCCUGAGAGGGCGACCGGCCACACUGGGACUGAGACACGGCCCAGACUCCUACGGGAGGCAGCAGUGGGAAUAUUGCGCAAUGGGCGGAAGCCUGACGCAGCGACGCCGCGGUGGGGAU
RNAcentral lists this ribosomal RNA (377 nucleotides) under uncultured bacterium. Its description in RNAcentral is "bacterial SSU rRNA". It matches the Rfam family "Bacterial small subunit ribosomal RNA", at positions 28 to 409 of the family's 1533-position model. The record is from RNAcentral.